Molecule: long non-coding RNA, 272 nt
Organism: Leptinotarsa decemlineata (Colorado potato beetle)
Lineage: Eukaryota; Metazoa; Arthropoda; Insecta; Coleoptera; Chrysomelidae
Source: RefSeq, a predicted model, not a curated record
ACAAUUUGUCCAUGAUAAUUGAAGUGUAUAUUACAAAAGAGGCUGCUCACUUUGAUUUUCUAAAUUAUCAAGGCGGUCCACUCUACAAAAUAAGAAUGAUCGAGCCCAAGUGAUAUUUUCAAAGACCAGCAGACCGACAGACAAUACAUAUAUCGCCAAUUUCGUUCAUCCAACAUCAAAUCACCCUCAUCCAGUAAGGUAGAAUAUCACAGUAAGAGUACUAUGGGGGAUGUCGUACUAUUUACAAUUUGGAUUACAGUAAAUACAAUGUA